GUCGAGCGGACUUUAAAAGCUUGCUUUUAAAGUUAGCGGCGGACGGGUGAGUAACACGUGGGCAACCUGCCUGUAAGACUGGGAUAACUUCGGGAAACCGGAGCUAAUACCGGAUAAUUCUUUCCACCACAUGGUGGAAAGCUGAAAGACGGCAUCUCGCUGUCACUUACAGAUGGGCCCGCGGCGCAUUAGCUAGUUGGUGAGGUAACGGCUCACCAAGGCAACGAUGCGUAGCCGACCUGAGAGGGUGAUCGGCCACACUGGGACUGAAACACGGCCCAAACUCCUACGGGAGGCAGCAGUAGGGAAUCUUCCGCAAUGGACGAAAGUCUGACGGAGCAACGCCGCGUGAGUGAUGAAGGUUUUCGGAUCGUAAAGCUCUGUUGUU
Molecule: ribosomal RNA, 388 nt
Rfam family: Bacterial small subunit ribosomal RNA